This 206-nucleotide ribosomal RNA is filed under the name uncultured bacterium. RNAcentral's name for it is "partial 16S ribosomal RNA". It matches the Rfam family "Bacterial small subunit ribosomal RNA", at positions 568 to 773 of the family's 1533-position model. The record is from RNAcentral.
CGCGCAGGCGGUCGUACAAGUCGCGUGUGAAAGCCCCCGGCUCAACUGGGGAGGGUCACGCGAUACUGUUCGACUCGGAGGCAGGAGAGGGAAGUGGAAUUCCCGGUGUAGUGGUGAAAUGCGUAGAUAUCGGGAGGAACACCAGUGGCGAAGGCGACUUCCUGGCCUGUUCUUGACGCUGAGGCGCGAAAGCUAGGGUAGCAAAC